GAAGGUUAGAUGCACCGUUAAACAUUAUAUACUAAAGUUUCUUUUAUGUUCAGAACUUGAUUACUAACGCAACUCCUAUUUCCAGGUCUGGAAUGUGCCAGCCACUUUAUGAAUCAACAAACAUUAUAGCGCACAAAAUAACUAUUGCAGUGAGUAUCACACUUUAAUAUCCUAUGUAGUUGAGGCUUUAUAAAGAUCAUUUGAAGAUUUAUCUAUUUAGUAAAGAUCAAAGUAAGGCUAGAUCUUCUACUCAUUUUGCACUUAUAUAUGUUGCCCAUUUUUUAUUAUAUUUUACAACCGUAGAUGCACUAUGAAAAUUUUAACAUUUGGCCUUUUUAGUUCUUUUUCCAUGCUGCCAAAACGUAUGGUGACUAUUCUUUUUUAUUUUCUUACAAAAGGCACUGCAAUAUAUUAGACAAUUUACUUUUUACUCCUACUCAAAGGUUAGUUAAGUACUUCAGUGAUUCAAUGUUUGUUCCUCGUGUGUUCCCUGUCUUGCCUGUACCAUAGAAGAGAUGAUGACCCAUCUACUAUUUAUUUUUGGUACCCUGUUUUCACACCUGAACUGGUUUGGAAGUAUCAUGCCUCUUCUCAUGCAUUUAUUUGUGUAUUUUCCCAUUCAAAGUGAUUAUUCACUAUUGAAGAACCAGUUCUCUACUGUCGUGCACUGUUGAGUCACCUUUUCAAGUAUGAUUUUAGACAUGUUAACUAUUAAUGUGAAAUUUCAUGUUUAUUUUAUUGAGCAACAGCUUUUGUUCUCAAAUAAUUAUAAAGAAAUUAUUUGAAGAAUAAUAACAUGAGAAAAAGUUAAAAAAUACAUGUUUCAUUUACCAAGGUAAUUUCGGUUGUUUCUCUUUAAUACUUAAUACUUAUUUUCUUCCUGUUCAACUUUACCGCAUGCCAUAUACACAAGAAGUCAUUUGCCAAAAAAGAAUCAUCCAAACCUACUUUGGCACACAAGCACGUCUUCAACAUGUUAUAUUGAUAAAUAAGCACUUCCAGACUAUAAUGUUAGCUAUGGGACAGCUUUGUUGAACGAGAAGGUGUUGCUAUAGUUGAAAACCUCACAGCCAAACUUGUGCUAUGGGCCACUGAUCUUAACGUUUCGUCCUUUAACGGUACCUUCAACAUACAUAUAGCAUUUACUUGCAUAUGAUAUUACAUUUACAAAAAAACAUGACCGACUUCAGCUUCAUUUCCUUUUAGGCCUUCCACUUUUCACUAAGGUCAGUAUUACUAUUUUCAUCAAUGCUGGAAUAGUUGCAGUAGCAGAUUACAGAGAAUGGUUUCAACAACUCACUCCUAAUUCUAAACUCUUUCAACCAACAUAAAAAUGUUUGACGAAUAUUUAUAUUCCCUACCUAAUUAUGUCCUUCAUUUCCUACAGGGUGAAAGCAAUUGAAAAACAACUUGAGAAACUAAUAGAGAAUAAACCAUUUGUUGCAGUCACACUGUCACUGCCAAAAGUUUCGCCUCCAGCUCAAAACAAGUUCAUAUCAAAUGCCGAUUUGCUAGGAGUCUGCCCGGGGUUAUCUUCUAAAUAUAUCUUCCAAUGUAUACGGCGUAGAUAGAAUCUCUAUCAUAUUUCAGCAUUAUGAAAACACCCUAACAAUUUCUCACAUACUAAUUUUAUCAUCCAAAUACACAUACAUGUCUUGGUACAGAAAAAAUUUUAUUGCGUAAAAGCCCAUCGGAGAAUUGAUUCGAAUAACAAGAGAUUUUUGUACAUGUCAUGCAGCAAUUGCAAAAAGACAUCCAAUGCAGACUUGAGAUAGGUCACAAAUGCCGC
RNAcentral lists this long non-coding RNA (1789 nucleotides) under Olea europaea subsp. europaea. The record is from RNAcentral. Lineage: Eukaryota; Viridiplantae; Streptophyta; Magnoliopsida; Lamiales; Oleaceae.